CAUGGCCAGCUCUUCAUCAUUCGGUUCACUCUCCCCAUCACUCUCAUAUUUUGAAGUUUUGAGAGCAAUGCUUUUCUUCUUCUCCUCAUGCCCUUUUUCUGCGACCAAAUCUUCUUCAUAUGAAAUGAGAGAACCAAUUAAAUCAUCAAGAGGUAAAGCAUUUAAAUCUUUAGCCUCUUCAAUAGCGGUUCUUUUAGGUCUCCAUUCUUUUGGAAGUGUCCUAAUGAUUUUCUUAACUUUCUCGCUAUUUGAGAAGGUCUUUCCUAGGGCUCCUAGAGUGUUUACUAUGUCCGUAAAUCUCAUAUACAUAGAGUACACACUCUCAUUUUGUUCCAUUUGGAACAACUCAUAUUGUCGAGUGUACCUACUAAUUUUCGACUCUUUCACUUGAUUUGUGCCUUCAUAAACUACUUCAAGUUUGUGCCAAAUUUCAUUAGCACUUUCACAACUAGAUACUCGAUGAAAUUCUUUCUUAUCAAGUGCACAAAAUAAAGCAUUCAUAGCUUUGGAAUUUAGAGAAGCUUUUCUCUUUUCCAAUUCAUUCCAUUCCCUUGAAGGUUUUGGAAUAUCUUCCCCGAAUUCAUUUUUAGUUAGGGGCAAAAACAGACCAUCACAUACAACUUCCCAAAUUUCAUAAUCUAAAGCUUGCAAAUAGAUUCUCAUUCUAGUUUUCCAAUAUGCAUAGUCAUUACCGUCAAAGAACGGUGGUCUAGUUGUGGAUUGCCCUUCUCUAAAGGUUGAGUCAUUUAGGGUUGCCAUGGAUCUUUUACUCUAAACGAUUAAGUCCUAAUAAGAGAACAAGGCUCUGAUACCAAAUGAAAUUCUAGUUAUGCAACCCAAGAGGGGGGUGAAUUGGAAUUCUAAAAAUUAUUCAAUUUAUAAAAAAAAAAAACUUAAUGCAAAUAUAAACCAAAUUCAAAGCAAUAACAAAUAAGGUGAUCACAAUAUAAAAAGAUAAGGGAAGAGAGAUUCAAACACAGAGAUUUUUACGUGGUUCGGCCAACCUCGCCUACGUCCACGCCUCCAAGCUUUCCGGACUUGAGGAUUCCACUAAGCAAGCCUCAAAGGCUUCAAAUACUUACACUUGACUUCCAAGGUGUCAAUAACCUUUACUACAAGAGAUUAUCCCAAUCUCUUUAACCCAAGUGUAUCCCAAUACUUACAAUCACUCAAAACAAAAGAUUACAAAUUGGUUUUGCCUCCCACAAUAUUUAAGAUUAUACAAUGAUGCCCAAUAUGUGAAUAGAUGAAGCAAGAAUGUGUUCAAAACUCUAUGAAGAUUGUAUUCUCGAGUAUAAGCUCAAUAGUAGUGUUGUGAUCAAUCUUGUUUGAAUUUGAAUGAGCUUAUUUAUAUUUGGAGUUGAAAAACUAGCCGUUACAAACUGUCGGCCCGAAAACGGUUCGUCGUUAACCAUUAACGGUUAACCGUUUAGGCUGGUCAAAAGUAAUCGUUGGGCCAAAUUUCAAAUAAACGGUUUGCCGUUUAGGAUUACCCUUUCGCCGUUAAAUUCCAGAGACCUGCAAGAUGAACAUCAGUUAUCCGUUUACAUUAAACGGUUAAGGAUUUCCAUGAAGUGACUUCUCUGGAUAUUAUCGGUUAACCGUUUGUAAUAAACGGUUCGCCGUUUGUUUCCAGUAACCUGCAAAACAAUUUAGCCUUAUCCAGUUUUGUUAAACGGUGUCAGAAGAGUACAACCUUUAAUUCUGGAUUUUAUCAGUUAAUCGUUUAAAUAACCGGUUCACCGUUAAAUUCCAGUAGCCUUCCUAGCUUUUUUGUGUUUUCCGUUUUUCUUAAUCGGUUAGAGCUUAGGCAAUAUGUUGCUCUCUGGUUUUAAUCGGUUAACCGUUUGUAAUAAACGGUUCACCGUUUGUAAUAAACGGUUCACCGUUUGUAAUAAACGGUUCACCGUUUGUAAUAAACGGUUCACCGUUUGUUUCUAGAAUCACAUUUUAAACCAGAUUUUGCAAAGAGUCAUUUUCUAAUUUGAAAGUCCAUCUUUUAUAAAUAUAAUUGGAAUGAUUAUAAGGCUUUCAUUUAUUAAGGAAUAGCUCCAACAUUUUAAUAAAAAAAAACCAUUUAAAGUUUGUUAUCAUCAAAAUCAAUAUUAUUAACAUAUUCAUGUUAAUAGGUUCUAGAGUGCUAAAUGGAAUUCUUUGAUAUGUUUAUAGCACUAGUAUUAUUACACAUGAUAGGAAUUUGAUCAAGAUUAAUGCUAUGAUCUCUAAGUGUUUGUUUCAUCUAAAGAGUUUGUGCACAAGAACUACCUGUAGCAAUAUAUUCUACCUCAGUGGUUGAAAGUGCAACCAAUUUUUUUUUCUUACUAAACCAUGAAAAAAGAUAAUGAUCUAAAAAAUGACAUGAUCCACUAGUCCUCUUCCUAUCGAUUUUAUAACCUGCAAAAUCGACAUCUGAAUAACAAGUUAAAUCUAUAUGGGUCUUCUAGGAUACCAAAGGCGAAGAUCUAUAGUUUCAUUCAAAUAACGAAAAAUUCUUUUGACAGCAAGCAAAUGAGAUUCCUUAGGACAUGAUUGAAAUUUUGCACACAAACAUACACUAAACAUGAUAUCGGGUCUACUUGCAGUUAAGUAAAGUAAAGAGUCGAUUAUACUUUGAUACAUUUUGAUAUCAACCUCUUUACCUUUUUCAUCUUCAUCAAGCUUGAUUAUUGUGCUCAUUUGAGUGCUCUUGGUCUUUGAGUUAUCAAUGCUGAAUCUCUUGAGUAGAUCUUUGACAUUUUUAGCUUGGUUAGUGAAGAUUCCUCAUUGUUUUGUUUGAUUUGAAGUUUAACGAAAUACUUGAAUUCUCCUAUCAUGCUCAUUUCAAAUUUCUUACUCACACAAGAUGAAAACUCAUUGUAUAAAGACUCAUUAGUAGAAACAAAGAUAAUAUAAUCAACAUAAAUUUGAACAACAAGUAUAUAUUGGUUCUUAUGCUUAACAAAGAGAGACGUAUUCGCUUUUCCAAUUGAAAAACCAUUAUCCAACAAAAAAUUUUUAAGCUUAUCAUACCAUUCUCUAGGUGCUUAUUUCAAUCUAUACAAUGCUUUUGACAACUUAUAAACAUGAUUUAGAAAUUUUUCAUUUUCAAAACCAGAGAGUUGUUUCACAUACACUUCUUCCAUAAUAUAAUCAUUUAAGAAUGCACUUUUGACAUACAUUUGAUAUAAAAUGAAAUCUUUAUGAAAUGCAAAUGCUAAGAGUAUCCUAAUGGAUUCUAAUCUUGCUACAGGUGCAAAUGUUUUAUCAAAAUCAAUUCCCUCUUCUUGGUUGUACCCUUGAGCUGCUAAUCUAGCUUUAUUUCUUACAACCACAGUAGAUUCAUUGAUUUUAUUUCUAAUUACCCAUUUAGUGCUUAUAAUGGAUUGAUGUUCCGAUUUAGGAACUAAUUUCCCCACAUUGUUUCUCUCAAAUUGAUUUAACUUCGCUUGCAUUGCCAUAAUCCAAGAUUCAUCAUUUUCCGCAUCCGCAAAGGAUUUUGGUUCAAUUUGAGAUAUUAAUGUAGCAUGCUCACAAGUAUUCUAAAUGAUAAUCUAGCGGUAACACCUUUUGAAUGAUCACCUAAAUUUAAAUCCUUAGGAUGAGAAGAAACAUACUUCCACUCCUUAGGAGUAUUUGAGAAGUACUUUCUUGUUGUUCUAUAUUUGUUUGUUCUUCUUGUUUAUCCUCUUGAUUUUCAUGUAGUGCAUCCUCUUGUUUAUCUUUUGAUAAUUCUUCUUGUAACUCAUCAUAUGCAUUAUCAUUAACAACAACUUUCUCCAUAGAGAAAAGGUUAGACUCAUUAAAUAUAACAUGUAUAGAUUUUUCCGCAACCAAAGUUCUUUUAUUAUACACUCUAUAAGCUUUACUUGUUUUUGAAUAAUCAAAAAAAAUAUCAACGUUAGAUUUUGGAUCAAAUUUACCAAGAUUAUAUUUCAUAUUCAAAAUAAAACAUUUGCAUCCAAAAACUUUAAAAUAUCAAAUGUUAGGUUUUCUAUCUUUCCAAAGCUCAUAGGGAGUCUUUUUAAGAUAAAGUCUAAUCAAAACACGAUUUAAAACAUAGCAUGUGGUGUUGACAGCUUCAGCCCAAAAAUACUUAGGCAAAGUAUUUUCAUUCAACACGGUCCUAGUCAUUUCUUGAAUAAACCUAUUCUUUCUCUCAACAAUUCCAUUUUGUUGUGAAGUUCUAGGUGAUGAAAAUUGAUGCUCAAUGCUAAAAUCAUUACAAAAAUUCUCGAAUGCAUGAUUUUCAAAUUCUCCACUAUGAUCACUUUUUAUACAAGAAAUAACAUAUCCCUUUUCAUUUUGAACCUUUUUACAGAAAACUCUAAAUGCAUCAAAGACAUCAUCCUUAUUAACUAAUAAUAAAAUCUAUGUGUAUCUAGAAUAAUGAUCCACAAUCACAAAUGCAUAAUAUUUACCACUUAAACUAGCAUAUGUAGAAGGUCCAAACAAAUCCAGGCAAAGUAAUUGAAGAGGUUUUGAAAUUAAGAUAUGGUUCUUGUUUUUUAAAGAAAUUUUCAUUUGUUUUCCAAAUUGGCAAGUUUCACAAAUCCUAUCUUUUUGAAAAUCGAUUUUUGGAAGACCUAUAACCAAAUUAUUUUUCAAAAUUUUAAAAAUCAAAUCCAUGCUUGUAUGACCUAGUAUUUUACGCCAUAACCAAUCAUCAUUAUGCAAUGCGGAGAAACAUUUAUCAUUAGUAGAUGCACAAUCUAUAUCAAUGAUAUAAACAUUAACACAUCUAUUUCCUAAACAAAUCUUGCCAUCACAUGCAUUCUCAAUAACACAUUUCGAUUUAUCAAAGAUAACUCUAUAACCUUUAUCACACAAUUGACUAAUGCUAAGCCGGUUGUGUUUCAAGCUUUCAACCAAACACACAUUUUCAAUAAGUGUAGAUGAUACAUUACCAAUAUUGUCAAUACCAAUAAUAUUUCCUUUUAAAUUAUCUCCAAAUGAUACAUCUUCACCAUUUUUUAUCUUGGUAAAGCUUGAAAACCAAGAAUAAUUUUCUGUCAUUUGUCUUGAACAACCACUAUCCAGGUAUCAUUUAUUUUUUUUUUCUUCUUCAAACCAUGUAGAGGAAAUCUCAAGUCUUAGAUACUCAAAUCUUUUUGGGUCCUUGAAUGUUAGUAAUGGUUUAUUUUGAAACCUAAACACAUUUGACUCUAUAGUAUGCAUAUCUUUUCACUGGACAUCUAUAUUUCAUAUUAUCAUUUUGAUUGCAAUAAUGAUAAACAAUUCUAUGGUCACUAGUGGAGGUAGCUUUAACAAAGUAAUUCUUAUAAUACUUUUGCUUCAAGCUAGGCUUGUACCCAAGUCCUCCUUUAUCAAAUACAUAUUUUUGAGAGUUCAGCAAUUUUUUCUAAGUUUUUUUAACCACUUGUGAAUUUUAACACAAUUUCGUUGAGUUCAUUGCGCUUUUUCGCUACAGUUUGGUCGCGCUAUCACUUGGGUUUUGUCCCUAACGACUGCCACUUCAAAAUCUGACUGAAAACAGCCAUCAGAAGAUGUUAAUUUGAUCUCAAGCAGCUGUUGGAGUUCUCAUGGCUGUCAAGCUCGAUCCACCUCUGUAGCCGCAUGUUGGAGCUCACUGCCGCCACUGUAUUUUGCUAAUUUUCUAAAAUUUGAGGUUAAUUUUAUAUGUUUAUAUUUUUUGGAUAUUUUGGUAAUUUCUCACUCGCAGAUAAGAAUUUGAGGAUAAUUCAAUAAAUUAUGAUUUUGAAGAUAACUCGGUGACUUAUGAUUUCGAGAUUUCGGGGGUAUUCUUGUAGUUUGUGAUUUUAGGGUAUUUUGAUAACUUAUUAUUAUGACCUGAUUAUGAGAAUUUUCUUAUUGAUUUUAGGCCGAUGAUGUUAAUAUGCUUUCAUUGCUUGAGGAUAAGUGGCAAGAGAUAAGUAAAAUAGAUUUCUAAAUAAAUCACAACCAACAAAUAUGUAUAUGUUUGAAAUGUUUGAAAAGCUUAUUUUGAUAUGUUGUUUGAAAUGUUUGAAAAACUUAUUUUGAUAUGUAUGGAUAUGGAUUUAUAUGUUUUGUCCAUGCGUUUAUAUGGUGUAUUGAUAUGAUGUGUUGUUAUGUGUUAACCAUGUUUUCGGACAUGGGCAUAUGUGUAUGUGAAUGUUUUAUUGACAUUAGCACAAAAAUGGAUUUUUAUUUUUUAAAUGAAAUGAGAAAGUAGACGUUUUCUAUGAAUGACAAAGUGGAUUUUAGACAAACGAAAUUUGAAGAAAGAAAAUGAGUUUUACAGUUUUGGCUUGGAUGCUUGAAUUCAUUACUCACUUAGUAGAGAACACUCUAGAUGUUAUGUUAUGUUAUGUUAUGUUAUGUUAUGUUAUAUGGGUGAGGGAUGUAUUUAUGUGAAACCCAUAAUGCAUGAAAGUUAUGAGGUUAAGUUAGUAUCCUACUAGUAAUUAAAUGAAGUUAGCUCAAGUAAACAAUUUGAAGAAAAUGUGAAGUUUGAAAAUGAUGGAAAGAGAUUCUAAUGCAUUUGUUUUACAAUAUUUAUUGAAAAGGUCAUGCCAUGUAGGGGUGGGCAUUUUACCCGACCCGACUCGAAAAAUUUCGGGUUCGGGUCGGAUCAGGUUGUUACUAAAACCCGAUCGGGUGAAAAAGUUACUGACCCGAUCGGGUUGUGAUCGGAUCACCCGAACCCGACCCGAACCCGAAUACUCGAUCGAGUCACCUAAAAAAAAAACAAAUUACACAUACACAGCGGACACGCAUGCGGCACACACCACAGCCACUCACUCACAGUCACACACACAAAAUCACAACUGUGAGUCUAUGACUCUCAACUCUCAAGUCUCAGCUCUCACACACAAAAACAAAAUCACAAGAUUCACAACUCACACACACAGGCCAACCGCCACACCACAGCCACUCCACUCUCAAGUCUCCACAGAUCAUAGAGCACACUUAGUAGCCACCCACCCACCCACGCACACACAGGCCACAGCCAGUCAGCCACGCCGCGAUCUGCUGCCCAGUGCCCACUGCCGCGAUCUGCUGCCCACAUCUUGCUGGCGCGAUCUGCCCACUUCCUGCUGCCGUGAUCUGCCUUGAACUGUUGUGAACUGCUGCCUCGAUCUACCCACUUUCUACUGUCGUGAUAUGUUGCCUCGAUCUGCUGCCACCUGCCAUGUUCCACUAUCGGCCGAUCUGUUGCUCCAAGCCCAAGGUCGAAGAUUCUAAGUUCCAAGUUCCAACAGGACCAACCCGACCCGAGUUCCUCCCACUCUCACCCAAACCGAUUUGAAGCUUUGACUUCCAAGUUUCAAUUUCAAUCUUUCAUGGUAUAUUAUAUAGUUAUAUAUGCUUCUUAGUUAUUGCUUAAUUGGUUAUUUUUUAUGUAAUUGAUUAUUGUUUAAUAGUUGUAAAUUUGUAAUUAUGUAUUUUUAAAUGUUAGUAAUAAAAUAAAAAAAAUGAUGUAUUUAUGAUUUUGUUAUGAAUAAAUUUUUAUUAAUUGUUAAUAAAUAACAAAAAUUCUGUUAA
RNAcentral lists this long non-coding RNA (7464 nucleotides) under Citrus sinensis (sweet orange). Its description in RNAcentral is "long non-coding RNA (CSIN_LNC004392)". Lineage: Eukaryota; Viridiplantae; Streptophyta; Magnoliopsida; Sapindales; Rutaceae. The record is from RNAcentral.